UCCGGCGUGGUCUAGUGGCUACAAUAUCUGGCUUUCACCCAGAAGGCCCGGGUUCGAUUCCCGGCGUCGGAA
Molecule: transfer RNA, 72 nt
Filed under: Rhipicephalus microplus (southern cattle tick)
Lineage: Eukaryota; Metazoa; Arthropoda; Arachnida; Ixodida; Ixodidae
Description: tRNA-Glu
Rfam family: tRNA
About the family: Transfer RNA (tRNA) molecules are approximately 80 nucleotides in length.
Source: Rfam by way of RNAcentral